CCCUUAGAUGUUCUGGGCCGCACGCGCGCUACACUGAUGCAUUCAACAAGUUCACCUUGGCCGAGAGGCUUGGGCAAUCUUUUGAACAUGCAUCGUGAUAGGGAUAGAUUAUUGCAAUUAUUAAUCUUGAACGAGGAAUUCCUAGUAAACGUAGAUCAUCAAUCUGCAUUGAUUACGUCCCUGCCCUUUGUACACACCGCCCGUCGCACCUACCGAUUGAAUGGUCCGGUGAAGCCUCGGGAUUGUGGCCAGCUCGCUUUAUUGGGAGUUGGUUGCGAGAACUUGUCUAAACCUUAUCAUUUAGAGGAAGGUGAAGUCGUAACA
RNAcentral lists this ribosomal RNA (324 nucleotides) under uncultured eukaryote. RNAcentral describes it as "partial 18S ribosomal RNA". It matches the Rfam family "Eukaryotic small subunit ribosomal RNA", at positions 1470 to 1796 of the family's 1831-position model. The record is from RNAcentral.